This 439-nucleotide ribosomal RNA is filed under the name uncultured bacterium. RNAcentral's name for it is "partial 16S ribosomal RNA". It matches the Rfam family "Bacterial small subunit ribosomal RNA", at positions 339 to 795 of the family's 1533-position model. The record is from RNAcentral.
CUACGGGCGGCUCCAGUGGGGAAUAUUGCACAAUGGGCGCAAGCCUGAUGCAGCAACGCCGCGUGGAGGAUGACGCAUUUCGGUGUGUAAACUCCUUUUAUAUGUCAAGAAAAUGACGGUAGCAUAUGAAUAAGCACCGGCUAACUCCGUGCCAGCAGCCGCGGUAAUACGGAGGGUGCAAGCGUUACUCGGAAUCACUGGGCGUAAAGGACGCGUAGGCGGGUUGGAAAGUCAGGUGUGAAAUCCUACAGCUUAACUGUAGAACUGCACUUGAAACUUCUAAUCUAGAGUAUGGGAGGGGGAGAUGGAAUUAGUGGUGUAGGGGUAAAAUCCGUAGAUAUCACUAGGAAUACCUAAAGCGAAGGCGAUCUCCUGGAACAUUACUGACGCUAAGGCGUGAAAGCGUGGGGAGCAAACAGGAUUAGAUACCCGGGUAGUC